GUUGAAACAGGUUCUGGGUGAGCCUUGGCCCUUCACAGAGCUGAAUGAUGAAGAGCAAAGAUUCUGGCCCCAGAUGGUCACCGAAGCCCUUCUCUUGUUGUAUCCUCGCUGAGUGAUCCCGGGUAGGCACAAUCAGUCAGUGAUUUGUGUUCUUCUAGCUCAUUCACUGAGCACCUACUGUGUCAGACCCUGGUACACAACACUGAAUGACAAAACCUCUGCCUGUGGUGCUUAUAUCUUAGGGGGUGUGCAUGUGGCAGAUAAAAGAGAAGUGAAUGAAUAAAUAUACAGAACAAUUUUAGGCAGUGCUAAGUUACGUGACUAGAAUAAAGCAUGGUUGUGUGAUAGAUAAAAAUAGGGGUGGGACUACCUUACACUGAGGGUGGGAGUGGGGAUCUGGGAAUGCUGCUCUGACCUGAAUUCAGAAACCAGAAUGAUGAAAAGGAGCUGGGCAUUGGAAGAUCAAGGAAAAGGGCAUUCCAGGAGAGGGGACAGCAAGUGCAAAGGCCCUGAGGCAGGAACAAGCUUGGGGCCAAUCAUGACUGCAAGCUUUCAGGGGAUGAAAAGAUCUCAGGAACAAGACAGUAUUAGCUGAGCGUUUUGAACAAGUCACUUGCCACUUUGAGCCUUAGUUUCCCCCAAUGUAAAACGAGAAUGAUAAAAGACCCAACCCUUAGGGAUGAGUGAAGAUUAAUCCAGUGGUGGGCCAGAAUUUCUCUACUGGAGGGGCUCAGGAAAUGGGGUGUGGGAACAUAUGUCUUGAAACUGUGGCACAGCAGGACCACUCUUUGUGCUUGGAUGAUUUGGGGUAGCUUUUGGGGGGGCGGGGGCCCAAUGGAGAUUAUUUUGGGCUGAAACCAAUGCUCCAAUCUCCCCAUGGCUCAGCCCCUGAUUUCAGGAGUUAAUAGCUUAAAGCAUGGCAUAAUGCCUGGCACAGAGCAAGUAGAGAGGAAUGGGGAGGGCAUUCCAGGUGGGAGGAAAGGCGUGUAGCUGGGAAUGUUUAAGGCGUGUUAGGAGAAGAGUGAGGAGACCAGCUUGGCUGGUGGGGAGGGGUGAGAGAGGAGGCUGGAAAGACAAGUUGAGGCCCAGGAUGAGACCUUGAAUGGCAUGCAAAAGGAGGGUGGGCCUCAGCUUGUAGGCAGCAGGGGCUAUUGUGCCUUCUGGAGCAGGAGAAGCUGUGGAAAUUGUCUUUGGUUUGGGUUUGUUUUUUCAAUGACAUAUUUUAGACAUUCAAAAAAGUUUAAAGGAAAAUAUAAUAAGCUUUCAUUGAGCCAUCACUCAGCUUAAGAAGAAAACCCUCCAGUAUAGAUGACACCUGCCCCCAGCCCCCCAUACCCCUUCCCAAUUAUAUUUCUCCUAGAAGUUACUGCAGACCUGGAUUUGGUGUUCAUGGUUCCACCGGUGUCUUUGUCCUUCUGUUGUUUGUUUGAUGGAGGUACAAAGUACACACAGUACAAUACACAAAUCUUAACUGGACAGUUUGAUGGCCCAUGGGAUCACCACCCAGAUCGAGUCACAGGCCAUUCCUAGCCUUUGGUUUUUCUAUCCUUGAACUUCAUACAAAUGGAAUCAUUCUGUGUGUGCUUUUCUGUAUCUGGUGCUUUCACUCAACCUGUGCCCGUGAGAUCUACCCGUGUUCGUGUCAAUGGUUCACCCCUAUUCACUGCUGCAUAGUAGUCUACUGUUUAAAUAGACCACAGUUUAUUAAUCACUCUACUGUCCAUGGAGAUGUAUAUUAUUUCCAGUUUCCAGUAUAUUGAAUAGUGUUGCUAUGAACAUUCUUGUACAUACCUUUUGGUAGACAUAAGAACGUAGUUCUUUUAGUAUUAUGUUCAAGAGUGAGGUUGUUGGAUGAUGGAGUACGCACAUGUUUAGUUCCCGUAGCUAUGGCCAGUUUCCCAAAGUGGUUGUACAACAUCUUUAUGCUUUUAUACACACACACACACACACACACACACGUCCCCUAGAGACUUGGGGCGCUGUUUUGGUUGUGGGUGUGAGUCUACAGAUGGUGUCACUUGUACUUUUGCUUCUGCAACUUGCUUUUUUUCCACUCAAUGUUCUGUUCCCAAGAUCCGUCCCUGUUGGUGUAGCAGCUUGAGUGCAUCUAUUUAUUCUUGAUGUAGGAUCUGUCCUGUGAACAGACCACAGCGUUCUCCUCCAAACUUUUACGUUUAGCUUAUUCCCAACUGGGAUUCUCUUUCCAGAUUUUCAUAAGCAUCUGUUAGGUGUUGAGUGAGGCCAGCGAGGAUGGGGGUGGAGGGGCUGUUGCAUCCAAUCAGGUGGGAGAUGAGGAUGAGGGGCUGCUGGUGCAGAUGGUUUUGAGGGACAUUUUAGGGAACUUGGUUGAGGUGGAGGAGGAAGGAAACAAGACUUGGAUUCUGGAGGCCAGAAACCCGGGGUUGAAUCCCUCCUCUCAUUUUCUGGCUAUGUGACCUUAGGCAUGUCACUUUGCUGCUCAGAGCCUCAGUUUCCUCAUCUGUAAUUUGGGAUCAUUCACCCUGCCUGGCAAGGGUUGAGUGAGCAGAGACAUUUAGUGGUCAGGGUUUGAAUCUAUUUAUUAGCUGAUUGACUUUGGGUACGUUGCUUCAUCUUAGCUUCUCAGUUUCCUCAUCUGGAAAAUGGGGAUAAGAAUAAUACCCACCUCCCAGUGAUUUUGGAAAAAUGAAAUGAGAUCGCAUAUGUAAAGUACUUAGUAAAUGCUCAAUAACUGGUAGCUACUUGUUAUUAUUACUGUUGUUGCUGUUGACUUCUGACUUUCCCACUAGAUGGUAGGUGCUGCGAGGGCAGGGCCUGCUCUUUUGCUCCCAUCUUCCUCCUGGAGGUCAUUGGAAAUAUUUGGAGUCUAACUACACACUACUGCUGCAUCCUGGGUGGGUGCCCUUGGGCGAGCCCAGCCCCCUCUCAGAGCCUCUAUUUUCUCCUGUAAAAUGGGGCUCAUGGCAAUGCCUACCUGACAAGGUAGUUUCUUGCCAGGCAUAUGGUAGGUGGCUUCAAAGGAGAAGGAGCUCUAGAGCAGGUCAGGUGGGGCCCCAAGGGGGCAACAUUUUCCUAGCAGUUCUGUGGCUCAUUCAGUCCAGGGAACUUCCAGAGACGGGGCGGGGAAGGUUGUCACUUCUGGCUGAGCUGCUUUGGAAAGGGGACAUGGUGGCAGUGAAAAGAGAGAGGAAGGGGGAUUCUGGCUCUGCUGACCCCCCUGAGGGCAGGUUUCAGCAGCAGGGAUAACCAAGCCCCUUGCUGCAGAGUGGGGACACUCAGGCCACAGUGAGUGGGAGGCUGACGUCCCAGGUGGCUGACCUGCCUCUGAUGCCCAUGUGCUGUGUGGCUCUGGGUACCUGGUGCACCUUCUCUGUGCCCCGAUUUCCUUUGCUGUGAUUGUCUUAGGGAGGCCUCGCUUCCUUGUCUGUUGGAUUUCCCGGCCCCCGCAGACCCACUGGCCCGGCCCCCUUGCCCUCAUGGAGGCUGAGGCCAGGGCUCAGGGCCAGGGCUGCGCACCUUGACAACCCGCCCACGCCAGGCACAAAGGCCCAUUGUUUGGGCCCAUGUUGGCGGGGAAGCGGGCGGGGAGCAGCCGCCUUUCACCCAACCCGCUUGUGGUUGGCAGGGACUGAGGAGCGAUUCACAGUGGUCCCCACGCCCUGACCGGGCACCUGGCCAGGCCGCCUCCCGGGCAGGCACCCUCGCGAAGCUGGGCCAGCUCGUACCCUGAGCUGAGCCUCAGUUUCCCCUGAGAUCCACAGGGCUCUGGCCUCCCCUGUCACAGAGAAGCCACCCUGCUGUACUUGAGGGGCAAGAGAGAGCCAUCUAUUUGCAGCCCCAGAAACACAUUUCUGCCUUCUCUCCUUGAGCCCAAACCCACCCUUCAAAGUUACCCCAGGAUGGAUUGCUGGCUGCUACUCUGAGUAAGAGGUACAAAAUCCAAAAAGUACAAAAGAAUAUGGAGUGAAAACUUAUCGUGGACACUGUUCCAGAUCAGCACACACAGGUCUGCUCUAUUCUUCUUACCUUGCCACGUGGUAUUCCUUUUUUAAAAAAAAA
This is a long non-coding RNA of Orcinus orca (killer whale), 4038 nucleotides long. RefSeq lists it as uncharacterized. Lineage: Eukaryota; Metazoa; Chordata; Mammalia; Artiodactyla; Delphinidae. The transcript has 5 exons. The record is from RefSeq and is a predicted model, not a curated record.